Molecule: long non-coding RNA, 3564 nt
Filed under: Oreochromis niloticus (Nile tilapia)
Lineage: Eukaryota; Metazoa; Chordata; Actinopteri; Cichliformes; Cichlidae
Description: lncRNA (ENSONIG00000042846.1)
Source: RNAcentral
GUGGAGAUGAGGUGUAUUACAGCUGGAUUACACGCGUGGAUGUGUAUUACAGGUUUACUACAAGCAUGGAGUCAUAUUACAGGUGUAUUACACGCGUGGAGGUGUAUUACAGCUGUAUUACCGCGCGGAUGUGCAUUACAGGUUUACUAAACGCAUGGAGUUGUAUUACAGCUGUAUUACACGCGUGGAUGUGUAUUAAAGGUUUGCUACACGCGUGGAGUUGUAUUGCAGCUUUAUUACACGCGUGGAUGUGUAUUACAGGUUUACUAAACGCAUGGAGUUGUAUUACAGCUGUAUUACACGCGUGGAUGUGCAUUACAGGUGUAUUACACGCGUGGAUGUGUAUUACAAGUUUACUACACGCGUGGAGGUGUAUUACAGGUGUACUACACGCGUGGAUGUGUAUUACAGGUUUACCACACGCGUGGAGUUGUAUUACAGGUGUAUUACACUCGUGGAUGAGUAUUACAGGUGUAUUACACGCGUGGAUGUAUAUUACAGCUGUAUUACACGCGUGGAGUUGUAUUACAGCGUUAUUACACGCGUGGAUGUGCAUUACAGGUGUAUUACACGCGUGGAGGUGUAUUACAGCUGUAUUACAGGUGUAUUACACUCGUGGAUGAGUAUUACAGGUGUAUUACACGCGUGGAUGUGAUUACAGGUGUAUUACAGGUGUAUUACACUCGUGGAUGAGUAUUACAGGUGUAUUACACGCGUGGAUGUGAAUUACAGGUUUACUACAAGCAUGGAGUCGUAUUACAGGUGUAUUACACGCGUGGAUGUGUAUUACAGGUGUAUUAAACGCGUGGAUGUGUAUUAAAGGUUUACCACACGCGUGGAGUUGUAUUACAGGUGUAUUACACGCGUGGAUGUAUAUUACAGCCGUAUUACACGUGUGGAGUUGUAUUACACCUUUAUUACACGCGUGGAUGUGUAUUACAGCUGUAUUACAGGUGUAUUACACUCGUGGAUGAGUAUUACAGGUGUAUUACACGCGUGGAGUUGUAUUACAGCUGUAACACACGCGUGGAUGUGUAUUACAGGUUUACUACACGCAUGGAGUUGUAUUACAGGUGUAUUACACGCGCGGAUGUGCAUUACAGGUGUAUUACAUGUGUGGAUGUGUAUUAAAGGUUUGCUACACGCGUGGAUGAGUAUUACAGGUGUAUUACACUCGUGGAUGAGUAUUACAGGUUUACAACACGCGUGGAUGUGUAUUACAGCUGUAUUACAUGCGUGGAGGUGAGGUGUAUUACAGCUGUAUUACACGCGUGGAUGUGUAUUACAGGUUUACUACAAGCAUGGAGUCAUAUUACAGGUGUAUUACACACGUCGAUGUUUAUUACAGGUGUAUUACACGCGUGGAGGUGUAUUACAGCUGUAUUACACGCGUGGAGCUAUAUUACAGGUGUAUUACACGCGUGGAUGUUUAUUACAAGUAUAUUACACGCGCGGAUGUGCAUUACAUGUGUAUUACAUGUGUGGAUGUGUAUUAAAGGUUUACCACACGCGUGGAGUGGUAUUACAGGUGUAUUACACACGUGCAGGUGUAUUAGAGGUGUAUUACACGCGUAGAUGUAUAUUACAGCUGUGUUACACGCGUGGAGUUGUAUUACACCUUUAUUACACGCGUGGAUGUGUAUUACAAGUUUACUACACGCGUGGAGGUGAAUUACAGGUGUAUUACACGUGUGGAUGUGUAUUACAGGUUUACUACACGCAUGGAGUUGUAUUACAGGUGUAUUAAAUGCGUGGAUGUGUAUUAAAGGUGUAUUACACGCGUGGAGUUGUAUUACAGCGUUAUUACACGCGUGGAUGUGCAUUACAGGUGUAUUACACGCGUGGAGGUGUAUUACAGCUGUAUUACAGGUGUAUUACACUCGUGGAUGAGUAUUACAGGUUUACUACAGCGUGGAUGUGUAUUACAGGUUUACUACACGCAUGGAGUUGUAUUACAGCUGUAUUAUACACGUCGAUGUUUAUUACAAGUAUAUUACACGCGCGGAUGUGAAUUACAGAUGUAUUACACGUGUGGAGUUGUAUUACAGGUGUAUUACAUGCGUGACCCGACACAGCGGCCGCAGGUUCCGUAGGUUCGCACCGCGCCGACGAAGAUGAGGGAAAAUCUUUCGCGGCUGGGACAUCUGAUCCGAGGCAACAACGGGCACCAGCCAGGCAUCGAUGGGCUCCAGAGAGCGCGGAGAAAAGACAUGAUGAGGCACAGAUCCACGUUUGUUCCAAGGAGCCGGGGAAGAGCGCACCAAGUACGCCUUGAGUUUCACGAGCAGACCGCUACGUUUGCCCCGGCGUCUGAAACGCUUUCGCCGUGAGGCUGGGCCAGGGUCCGACAAAGGUUAGCUGGUAUCCCAGCUAGGAAUGGAGGUAACGUCUUAUGUCCAGUAUAAGUUGUAUUGGUAAGAUCACUGGCAACUAGUCGGAGGUCCAACAGAGUUUGGCGAUUGUACAUUAAAAGAGGGUUGACUCUAGCAAUAAAAAAACCAACACAAACAAACACAGCAGGGGAAGAGACAGACGGCGAGCCACACACACUGGCGCCAUCUUGUCUAUUCAUCACGGAACCUUCAUGAAUGGACUUACCCCGGCUGGGGCGGCGGCGACGACGACGACGACGGCUGCUGCUGCUGCUGCUGCUGCUGCUCCUCCUCCUGCUCCUGCUGCUCCAUGCUCUAUCCUCCAUCCUUUGGAAGCCGAAUUUAAAGGCCGCGCUGGCCCUUGUUCUUCUUCAUCUAUCUUUUUAUGGCGGUUGGCAAACAACUUCAGGUGCAUUACUGCCACCUUCUAGACUGGAGUGUGGAUCAGAACAGCUUUUACGUCUAUACUCUCAUGUUGCUCUUAAAAACCCAAAUAUUGCCCUCAGCCAUACUGUUUGUGGCUUUUCAUUUCCUUCCCUGCUCCAAUAACAGCAAAAGGAGUGAGGCACUGAAUGAACUGUAUCAGCACGUCAGUGAGCAGCAGAUGGCCCACCUAGAUGCUUCUCUCGUGCUAGCGGGGGUUUUCAAUCGUGCAGACCCAAAGACUGUGCUUCCCAAACUGCACAAACACAUACAUUUCCCACACGGGGAAACAACAUUUUGGACUAUGUUUUCACCACCCAGAGAGGAGAUUACAAAACAUCUUGCCAAGUGGUGCAGCAACAACAACCUGUCCCUGAAUGUUGAGAAGAGUAAGGAGGUCAUCAUAGACUUCAGGAGAACUCACACCCUGCACACACGACUAACCAUCAGUAGUGCUGCUGUGGAGAGGGUAAAGCAGCACUAAGUUCCUGAGUGUGCACAUCUCAGAACAUCUGAGUGUGUUUGUAAUUGUCUGAUUCAAACAGGCUGCCGAUGUCCAGAUUGGACGAUUGAAUGGACAGCCACCUACCUCUCCUUGUCUCCUCUACAUCCAACAAAGAGCAACCUGUUUGUACUUCUGAGCAUUUGUGUGAAAAUCCUGAGCUGUGGUCUUUUUUGUAACGUGUGAGCCAUUUGUAAUUAAGAUAUGUUGAUUGAGAUAAAAGCACUUAUGUAAAUAGUUGUUGUAAGCGUUCCUUGUAAUUUCUUA